Long non-coding RNA from Perca flavescens (yellow perch), 159 nucleotides. RefSeq lists it as uncharacterized. The record is from RefSeq and is a predicted model, not a curated record. NCBI's taxonomy places the organism in Eukaryota, Metazoa, Chordata, Actinopteri, Perciformes, Percidae. The transcript has 2 exons.
UUGACUUUAAUGGAAACCUAAUGACUCCGCCGCCGUUUCGGAGCCGUUCCGCAGCCGUUAUGCAUCUGGUGGAAAUCCACGGAAAAAAGUUCCCCUCAAGGCUAGCUUUUCAGCAGCAAAUCCUUGCUGAAGACGAAUAAAGAACCAUUUUCCUCUUGA